UCCCGGCGCCGCAACCAAUGGAUCUCCUCCUCUGUUUAAAUAGACUUGCGGUGUCAAUCAUUUUCUUCUUCGUCAGCCUCCCUUCCACCGCCAUAUUGGGCAACUAAGAAAAGGGGGCUCGUCUUUUCGGGGUGUUCUUCUCCCACUCCCCUCUUGCUCAUCCCUCCGCGACUCUGACGCCGGCAAGGUUUGGAGAGCCGCUCGGUUCGCGCGACCCGCGGGCUUGCACCAGCCUGGACUCGGACGGGCUCUGCCGCCCCCGCCUCUCGCCUCUCCCCUCCCCUCCCCGCCCUCCCGCUCCCCGUACACUUGAUCGGCGGAGACUUGGGGCUGCCUGGCCGGGGCUUCCCCCUCACCCCUCCCUAGACCCAGCGCGCUCCUGACGCUCGCCAGUUACUUGUUGGGGUUUGUUUCUCUUGGCUCCCAGGGCAGGCGCAGGGCUUAUAAGAGCAGUUCGGGCUGGGUCGGGGCGUUUUGUUUUGUUCGGUUUUGUUUUGCGAGAGCGCGCGCGAGAGGCGGUCGUAAAGACCUGGGAGGAAGAUGUCAACCGUGAGAGUGUCUAACGGGAGCCCGAGCCUGGAGCGGAUGGACGCCAGGCAGGCGGAGUACCCCAAGCCCUCCGCCUGCAGAAACCUCUUCGGCCCCGUCGAUCACGAAGAGUUAACCCGGGACUUGGAGAAGCAUUGCCGGGACAUGGAAGAGGCGAGCCAGCGCAAGUGGAAUUUUGAUUUUAAGAACCACAAGCCCCUGGAGGGCAGAUACGAGUGGCAGGAGGUGGAAAAGGCCAGCCUGCCCGAGUUCUACUACCGCGCCCCACGGCCACCCAAAGGCGCCUGUAAGGUGCCCGCGCAGGAGAGCCAGGAUGUCAGCGGGAGCCGCCAGGCGGUGCCUCUCGUCGUGUCCCAGGCAAACUCGGAGGACUCGCACUUGGCGGAGCAAAAGACUGAUGCGUCCGACAGCCAGCCGGGCUUGGCGGAGCCGUGCGCCGGGAUGAGGAAGCGACCUGCAGCAGACGAUGCCUCUUCGCAAAACAAAAGAACCAACAGAACAGAUGAAAAUGUUUCAGACGGUUCCCCGAACGCGGGCUCCGUGGAGCAGACGCCCAAGAAGCCGGGCCUCAGAAAACGUCAAACGUAAAGUGCUCGGGUGGGUUGAUGACCAGGAGCUAAUAACUGGCACCCGAAUCGGGCUGCAGGAACUCUCUGAGCUUUCCAACCCCAAGAUAACCUGAUCUCAGUGGCUGCCGGCAGAUUAGAGCUUAAUUGAGACUAUGUUUCCUUGUUUAUCAGAUACAUCACUGCUUGGCGAAGCAAGGAAGAUAUGAAUUAAACAUUUUAAAUACAUAUCGCUGACUCCAUGGAAUGGAUGUCCUGUAUAAGCACUGAAAAGUAACAACACAAUAACACUAAAAUUUUAGGCACUCUUAAGUGAUCUGCCUCUAAAAGCAUUGGAUGUAGCAUCGUGCAAUUAGGUUUUUCCUUAUUUGCUUCAUUGUACUACCUGUGUAUAUAGUUUUUAUCUUUUAUGUAGCACAUAAACUCUGGGGAAGGGAGAGGAGGGGGGGAGAGGGGGGAGCUGAGGAAUUGGCUUUGGGAGGUAUGAAGAGCUUGCUUCGAUUUAGAGCAAGGAGAAAAUUAUUUGACUUAACAUGAAGAGAAGCAGUUUAAGGAAAGGGUUUGAAUUGUUUUCUUUAAAGUUGUAAUGUCCCUUUCAGUGAAAACUGAUACUUCGUUUUAAAAAUCAUCCAAAUUUGAACACUGGCUGCAGAUAACUGCUAUUUAUUUUUUACAUGAAGCUAUUUUUUUCAUUUGGGAGCUCUGAUUAUUCCGUUAUGUAGCAGUAAAUGGCUUUUUUUUUUUUUUUUUUUAACAACAACAAAAAACUGUCUUUAGUGCUCCCCUUAAAAUUGGAAUUUACCAGUUAAUUAUUUAGCAGUUAGGUAAUCACUCCAGGUAAUUAUAGGCAAAAAAAUAUAAAUGGAGGGGGGGAGUCUGAAUGCUCAGAAUCAACCAUCUAAUUUUUAUCAGAUUUGUUGAGAAAAUUUCUGAAUUUUCUUUUCACUUUGGGCUGUGUAGACAAAGUCAAAAUAAUUCUAAAUCCUUGGAUAUUUUUAAAAGAUCUGUAAGUAAUUUCACAUGAAAAAUAAUGAAAUAAUUUUAAAUUUAAAGCUUCUUAUUCUAUUUGCUAAUUUGCCCAAAGGAAAGUAGUGUUUUAAGAGGAAAGUGUGUAUACAAAAAGCCCGUCUGGUAUAAGUGAAAUGGAUACUACAUCUUUAAACAGUAUUUUUCAUUUCCUGUGUAUGUGUAUGAAAAAAAAAAAAAACCAUUUGAAGUGUACCUGUGUACAUAACUCUGUAAAGACACUGAAAAAUUAUACUAACUUAUUUAUGUUAAAAAAAGAUUUUUUUUUUAAUCUAGACAAUAUACAAGCCAAAGUGGCAUGUUUUGUGCAUUUGUAUAUGCUGUAUUGGGUAGAAUAGAUUUUUCCCCCUUCUUCUGUUAAAUAAUAUGGCUGUGCUUAAAAGGUUGCAUACUGAGCCAAGUAUAAUUUUUUGCAAUGUGUGAAAAGAUGCCAAUUAUUGUUACAUAUCAAACAAUCAAUAAAGAAAGCUUCCAUAACUGUUCAUUGA
RNA transcript from Myotis myotis, 2629 nucleotides. It is a transcript of the gene named cyclin dependent kinase inhibitor 1B, with no coding region annotated. The record is from RefSeq and is a predicted model, not a curated record. The transcript has 3 exons. NCBI's taxonomy places the organism in Eukaryota, Metazoa, Chordata, Mammalia, Chiroptera, Vespertilionidae.